CCGGCGCACGGGUGAGUAACGCGUAUGCGACCUGCCCGUUGCAGGGGGAUAAUCGGGAGAAAUCCCGUCUAAUACCGCGUAACGCCGCGGGGCUGCAUGGCCCUGCGGCCAAAGGGAGCGAUUCCGGCAACGGAUGGGCAUGCGUGACAUUAGCUAGUUGGCGGGGUAACGGCCCACCAAGGCGACGAUGCGUAGGGGUUCUGAGAGGAAGGUCCCCCACACUGGUACUGAGACACGGACCAGACUCCUACGGGAGGCAGCAG
RNAcentral lists this ribosomal RNA (263 nucleotides) under uncultured bacterium. RNAcentral describes it as "partial 16S ribosomal RNA". It matches the Rfam family "Bacterial small subunit ribosomal RNA", at positions 95 to 354 of the family's 1533-position model. The record is from RNAcentral.